AGCGUACACGGUGGAUGCCCUGGCAGUCAGAGGCGAUGAAGGACGUGCUAAUCUGCGAUAAGCGUCGGUAAGGUGAUAUGAACCGUUAUAACCGGCGAUUUCCGAAUGGGGAAACCCAGUGUGAUUCGUCACACUAUCAUUAACUGAAUCCAUAGGUUAAUGAGGCGAACCGGGGGAACUGAAACAUCUAAGUACCCCGAGGAAAAGAAAUCAACCGAGAUUCCCCCAGUAGCGGCGAGCGAACGGGGAGCAGCCCAGAGCCUGAAUCAGUGUGUGUGUUAGUGGAAGCGUCUGGAAAGGCGCGCGAUACAGGGUGACAGCCCCGUACACAAAAAUGCACAUACUGUGAGCUCGAUGAGUAGGGCGGGACACGUGGUAUCCUGUCUGAAUAUGGGGGGACCAUCCUCCAAGGCUAAAUACUCCUGACUGACCGAUAGUGAACCAGUACCGUGAGGGAAAGGCGAAAAGAACCCCGGCGAGGGGAGUGAAAAAGAACCUGAAACCGUGUACGUACAAGCAGUGGGAGCACGCUUAGGCGUGUGACUGCGUACCUUUUGUAUAAUGGGUCAGCGACUUAUAUUCUGUAGCAAGGUUAACCGAAUAGGGGAGCCGAAGGGAAACCGAGUCUUAACUGGGCGUUAAGUUGCAGGGUAUAGACCCGAAACCCGGUGAUCUAGCCAUGGGCAGGUUGAAGGUUGGGUAACACUAACUGGAGGACCGAACCGACUAAUGUUGAAAAAUUAGCGGAUGACUUGUGGCUGGGGGUGAAAGGCCAAUCAAACCGGGAGAUAGCUGGUUCUCCCCGAAAGCUAUUUAGGUAGCGCCUCGUGAAUUCAUCUCCGGGGGUAGAGCACUGUUUCGGCAAGGGGGUCAUCCCGACUUACCAACCCGAUGCAAACUGCGAAUACCGGAGAAUGUUAUCACGGGAGACACACGGCGGGUGCUAACGUCCGUCGUGAAGAGGGAAACAACCCAGACCGCCAGCUAAGGUCCCAAAGUCAUGGUUAAGUGGGAAACGAUGUGGGAAGGCCCAGACAGCCAGGAUGUUGGCUUAGAAGCAGCCAUCAUUUAAAGAAAGCGUAAUAGCUCACUGGUCGAGUCGGCCUGCGCGGAAGAUGUAACGGGGCUAAACCAUGCACCGAAGCUGCGGCAGCGACGCUGAUGCGUUGUUGGGUAGGGGAGCGUUCUGUAAGCCUGCGAAGGUGUGCUGUGAGGCAUGCUGGAGGUAUCAGAAGUGCGAAUGCUGACAUAAGUAACGAUAAAGCGGGUGAAAAGCCCGCUCGCCGGAAGACCAAGGGUUCCUGUCCAACGUUAAUCGGGGCAGGGUGAGUCGACCCCUAAGGCGAGGCCGAAAGGCGUAGUCGAUGGGAAACAGGUUAAUAUUCCUGUACUUGGUGUUACUGCGAAGGGGGGACGGAGAAGGCUAUGUUGGCCGGGCGACGGUUGUCCCGGUUUAAGCGUGUAGGCUGGUUUUCCAGGCAAAUCCGGAAAACUAAGGCUGAGGCGUGAUGACGAGGCACUACGGUGCUGAAGCAACAAAUGCCCUGCUUCCAGGAAAAGCCUCUAAGCAUCAGGUAACAUCAAAUCGUACCCCAAACCGACACAGGUGGUCAGGUAGAGAAUACCAAGGCGCUUGAGAGAACUCGGGUGAAGGAACUAGGCAAAAUGGUGCCGUAACUUCGGGAGAAGGCACGCUGAUAUGUAGGUGAAGUCCCUCGCGGAUGGAGCUGAAAUCAGUCGAAGAUACCAGCUGGCUGCAACUGUUUAUUAAAAACACAGCACUGUGCAAACACGAAAGUGGACGUAUACGGUGUGACGCCUGCCCGGUGCCGGAAGGUUAAUUGAUGGGGUCAGCGCAAGCGAAGCUCUUGAUCGAAGCCCCGGUAAACGGCGGCCGUAACUAUAACGGUCCUAAGGUAGCGAAAUUCCUUGUCGGGUAAGUUCCGACCUGCACGAAUGGCGUAAUGAUGGCCAGGCUGUCUCCACCCGAGACUCAGUGAAAUUGAACUCGCUGUGAAGAUGCAGUGUACCCGCGGCAAGACGGAAAGACCCCGUGAACCUUUACUAUAGCUUGACACUGAACAUUGAGCCUUGAUGUGUAGGAUAGGUGGGAGGCUUUGAAGUGUGGACGCCAGUCUGCAUGGAGCCGACCUUGAAAUACCACCCUUUAAUGUUUGAUGUUCUAACGUUGACCCGUAAUCCGGGUUGCGGACAGUGUCUGGUGGGUAGUUUGACUGGGGCGGUCUCCUCCUAAAGAGUAACGGAGGAGCACGAAGGUUGGCUAAUCCUGGUCGGACAUCAGGAGGUUAGUGCAAUGGCAUAAGCCAGCUUGACUGCGAGCGUGACGGCGCGAGCAGGUGCGAAAGCAGGUCAUAGUGAUCCGGUGGUUCUGAAUGGAAGGGCCAUCGCUCAACGGAUAAAAGGUACUCCGGGGAUAACAGGCUGAUACCGCCCAAGAGUUCAUAUCGACGGCGGUGUUUGGCACCUCGAUGUCGGCUCAUCACAUCCUGGGGCUGAAGUAGGUCCCAAGGGUAUGGCUGUUCGCCAUUUAAAGUGGUACGCGAGCUGGGUUUAGAACGUCGUGAGACAGUUCGGUCCCUAUCUGCCGUGGGCGCUGGAGAACUGAGGGGGGCUGCUCCUAGUACGAGAGGACCGGAGUGGACGCAUCACUGGUGUUCGGGUUGUCAUGCCAAUGGCACUGCCCGGUAGCUAAAUGCGGAAGAGAUAAGUGCUGAAAGCAUCUAAGCACGAAACUUGCCCCGAGAUGAGUUCUCCCUGACUCCUUGA
Molecule: ribosomal RNA, 2787 nt
Filed under: Escherichia coli
Lineage: Bacteria; Pseudomonadati; Pseudomonadota; Gammaproteobacteria; Enterobacterales; Enterobacteriaceae
Description: bacterial LSU rRNA
Rfam family: Bacterial large subunit ribosomal RNA
Source: RNAcentral